Molecule: unclassified non-coding RNA, 290 nt
Organism: Ochotona princeps (American pika)
Lineage: Eukaryota; Metazoa; Chordata; Mammalia; Lagomorpha; Ochotonidae
Gene: 7SK
Rfam family: 7SK RNA
About the family: 7SK was discovered as an abundant small nuclear RNA in the mid-70s but a possible function has only recently been suggested. Two independent studies have found that 7SK RNA binds the CDK9/cyclin T complex (known as elongation factor P-TEFb). P-TEFb activates transcription by phosphorylating the C-terminal domain of RNA polymerase II.
Source: Ensembl
GGAUGUGAGGGCAAUCUGGCUGCGACAUCUGUCACCCCAUUGAUCACCAGGGUUGAUUUGGCUGAUCUGGCUGGCUAGGCGGGUGUCGCCUGCCUCCCUCACUGCUCCAUUUGCGCUCAGUCGAAGAGGAGGACCAUCCCCGCUAGAGGAGGACCAGUCUUCAGUCAAGGGUAUACAAGUAGCUGUGCUCCCCUGCUAGAACCUCCAAACCAGCUCUCAAGCAGUGGGUGAUUAUGGCUAUACUAGGAAAACAGCAGCAGGUCUUGUCGCUGUCCUGCAGCGAUGGACUU